CGCGCACAGGAUAAAAACGCAACGCGGGCCUUCACCCGCCAGAGCUGGUAGGUAGCCCAGCCAUCUGCACUUCGGCGCAGGUAAGUAACCCUCCCCUCCGGGUCGUCCGUUCCUGUGUACCAUACA
RNAcentral lists this non-coding RNA (126 nucleotides) under Firmicutes bacterium CAG:124. RNAcentral's name for it is "azaaromatic riboswitch aptamer (yjdF RNA)". It matches the Rfam family "azaaromatic riboswitch aptamer (yjdF RNA)". The record is from Rfam by way of RNAcentral. RNAcentral also lists the same sequence under 1 other name. Lineage: Bacteria; Bacillati; Bacillota.